GAAGAAAGGUGACUCCCAGGGUCUGGGUCAGGGAAGGGUUUUGGACAGGAAAAGGGACUCACAACAGGGCAUGCUUGGGAGGAAUUGUUUAAGGCUUUCAACCCUUGCCAAGGCGAAUAACACGAGACAAGACCUGUAGUUACUUUAGCUAUAUAUAGUAUAUCUAGUGUGUAACCUCAAAAUGCCUCCCCUUGCAGCAUUUAUGCUGUUGAACUUACAGUGAGUCCCUCUGUGGAGGGUGGAGUAGGGGAAGGAGUUCUGCUGGGGACAAAGGUGGGGAAGCACUCCCUAGCUUUGAAGAAUUUCCUGCCUUUUUAUGCCUGGGAUGUAACCAGAGACCAGUGUCAACAAGGAAUCUGGCUCAGGAAUGCUUUGGUCCAGAGCCCUCCUUGGAGGUGACUUGCUCUUUCAGAGGUAGCUCCAGAAGAACCCUAGGAGCCUUGCCUAUGACUCUAUGAUGGGGCUUGCUAAACACUAUACACAGCAUCCCUAUCUGUCACAGAUCCUCUAGUAUCAUUGGAUCGGCAGAUCAUAUGAGCUAAGGGCACCUGGCAUGGCAGCUUGGAUCUGCUCCAGAGCUCUCCUUGUUCUGGGCCCCACGCAAAACUGACAGCCUCUUAAGUCACUCAACACAUUAGUGGGAGAAGUAUUCCUCAAUACAACUUAUCAUUCUCCAAAAUCCAAAGAGGCUCACUAAGCACUGUAUCUCCUUCUGAGUCCUAAAAUUCAUAGUGUAGUGGGAGGUGGACAGAAGUGCCAUUGAGUAUUGACUGCCUGGCACUGACACACGCUAAAAUAGAGGAAUAUACAGGAUGCCAUGGGAGUCCAGAUGAAGUGAAGAACCCACUCUUACUGGUGUGUGUGCACACAGGAGGAGGUAUGUAAUGCCUUGUCUGGUUUUCUGUCCUGGCACAUUCCCAUUCCUCAUUUCUAGAGCCACUUGACCACAAUGGCUGGUCAGGGAUAAUGUAAAGAAUCUUCAUUUGGCAGCUCAGAGGACUGCCCAGUCAACCUUCCCUUCCAUCCGUCUCCUGCUUUUGGGACCCAUCUCCUCUUGUACCCUAGACAUCUUUUCUACUUUCAUAUCUGUUGCAACUUCAAAGAUCCCUUGAAUCUCUCUUGCCUAACCCUCUUUGAGGUAAAUGCUACCUUCUUUUCUCUAUACCUGCUUUGGGAGAAGGGGAAAGUGUCUUAAUAUAUGCACUAAUUAGACCCCUUCAUGAUCUAAUGUCAGGCUUACAUUGUUUCCUUUCGUAAAUGAGCCCCGGGGGAAGUUAAGUAAUUUGUCAAAAUUCACACAACUAGAAAAGAAAAAAGAAAAAAGCAGGACAUUGAAUGUAGAGCCAAUAUUCAGAGUACCUGAUUUUUUUGUUUUUUUGAGACAGAGUCUUGCUCUGUCAUCAAGGCUAGAGUGCAGUGGCACGAUCU
Long non-coding RNA from Cebus imitator (Panamanian white-faced capuchin), 1428 nucleotides. RefSeq lists it as uncharacterized. The record is from RefSeq and is a predicted model, not a curated record. NCBI's taxonomy places the organism in Eukaryota, Metazoa, Chordata, Mammalia, Primates, Cebidae. The transcript has 3 exons.